Molecule: ribosomal RNA, 108 nt
Filed under: Pteropus alecto (black flying fox)
Lineage: Eukaryota; Metazoa; Chordata; Mammalia; Chiroptera; Pteropodidae
Source: RNAcentral
GUCUAUAGCCAUGUCACCCUGAACAUGCCCGAUCUCGGAAGCUAAGCAGGGUUGGGCCUGUUAGUACUUGGAUGGGAGACCAUGUAGAAAUAUCAGGUGCUGUAGGCA